RNAcentral lists this ribosomal RNA (251 nucleotides) under Pleosporales sp. Its description in RNAcentral is "partial small subunit ribosomal RNA". It matches the Rfam family "Eukaryotic small subunit ribosomal RNA", at positions 1346 to 1560 of the family's 1831-position model. Lineage: Eukaryota; Fungi; Ascomycota; Dothideomycetes; Pleosporales. The record is from RNAcentral.
AAGGGGUGGGCUGACUAUUGUCGGCUUAAGGUACGUGCUAAUCCCUUGGGUAACCAAGCUCUGACGAUAAGACCCGACAGGUCAAGGCGUUAGGGGGCAGCCAGACUGAGGUCUGUCUGCUGGUAUACAGUUCAUGAAUGAACUGUUUAAUGCUGUGAUGCCCUUAGAUGUUCUGGGCCGCACGCGCGCUACACUGACAGAGCCAACGAGUUCUUCACCUUGACCGAAAGGUCUGGGUAAUCUUGUGAAAC